GUGAGCAGCAUCACAUCCGUGCCGGGCUGCACUGCACUGCAGCACGGGGUGAGGAGCACGGGAUGAGGGGAGCAGAGAUCUGCUGGGCAGGAAGGAUGAGAAGCCAACAAAAUCAGGCUGUGCUGAUGGCAAGGAACCAAACGUCCCUCUGCGCCCUGACCUUCAUUGUGUGGGGAAGGAGGGAGAGCUGCCACUGAGAAAACGUGAUAAGGAUGGCCGGCAGGACCAGCGUGGUUUUGUGCUGUGUGUGCAUGCAGUUGGCUGGGGAUCGCGUGCGGAGAGCUUGGCUGCGCUCAGCAGAGCGGUUCACAGAGUUGGGAACGGACCACCUCCCCAGUGUGUCCAGGCUAAUGGAAACCACAGCUGCCCCACAUGCACAGAGCAGGGAACUGACACCAGGCAGGGGACAUGAUUUCAGCAGGAAAAAGAACAACAUACAGGAGUUAAAAACAUCCCUGCUGCCAUUCCUUCCCUCCCCAUGGGGUACAGGGAGCUAAAACCCAGCUGCUCGGAUAAAGGAGCAUUCCCAAAGCUUCACCAGCAAAUGAAGACAUUGAAACAGAGACCAAGGAGAUGAGGAAUGUGUCAAAGACAGGAGCUCCAUCCCCACCUCUUGCCCCAUUCAACCCCAUGGACACAGCACAAGGAGGUGGAGGAGCUGCCCACCAUACACCUGGUGCAGGUGCUGUGCUGGGAGCAGAGGGAAGCUGCCCCGACAUGGGGUGAUUCAGUUCCAAAUCACGCGGAGCCCACUGCACACCGCCAGAACUCUCGACUUGCUGCUUUGCCCGCGCUUGCACGCUGUGCUGGGGGUGAUAGGGAGCCGGCAUGGAGCCACGGGUGAUCCCUCACCACGAUCCGGAGUGUGGGAAAAAACGCAAUCGCUGCAAACAAUCAGAGGCAAAGCCAGCAGCAGCACGCAGCGAGGAAUUCGGAGGCGCAUUCCAGCAGGGAUGACAGAGAAGGGGCUGGGAGUGCAAGAAAACACAACGUGCUGUGAUUUGCUUUGUUUUGCCUUGUUUUGCUUUCUCCCCCCCCCCAACCUCUUCAGCACCAUCACACCCUGCUCGGCUUUCGAGUAAAGGGUGGCACAGCGGUGGGGACCUGGAGUGCUCUGUGCCUCCGUGUCUCCAGCAGAGCAAUGAAAUACACCUUUUAGACCUACAAAGCCUAUAAAGGGAAGUUCUGGGCAUGGGGACAUGGCCAUGUGGACUGCAGGCAGUACUGCUGGCACAUGGGAACUCGGUGUCACUGCUGGCCAAGGCAGCGUGUCCCCUGCACAAAGCAUGCCACCUUCCCAGCUCUUCCUGACCCACUUUCUACAUGGCACAAUUAAAGCAAAGCAAAACAGA
Molecule: long non-coding RNA, 1352 nt
Organism: Coturnix japonica (Japanese quail)
Lineage: Eukaryota; Metazoa; Chordata; Aves; Galliformes; Phasianidae
Source: RefSeq, a predicted model, not a curated record